RNAcentral lists this ribosomal RNA (497 nucleotides) under uncultured bacterium. Its description in RNAcentral is "partial 16S ribosomal RNA". It matches the Rfam family "Bacterial small subunit ribosomal RNA", at positions 28 to 507 of the family's 1533-position model. The record is from RNAcentral.
GAUGAACGCUGGCGGCGUGCCUAAUACAUGCAAGUCGAGCGAACGGACGAGAAGCUUGCUUCUCUGAUGUUAGCGGCGGACGGGUGAGUAACACGUGGAUAACCUACCUAUAAGACUGGGAUAACUUCGGGAAACCGGAGCUAAUACCGGAUAAUAUUUUGAACCGCAUGGUUCAAAAGUGAAAGACGGUCUUGCUGUCACUUAUAGAUGGAUCCGCGCUGCAUUAGCUAGUUGGUAAGGUAACGGCUUACCAAGGCAACGAUGCAUAGCCGACCUGAGAGGGUGAUCGGUCACACUGGAACUGAGACACGGUCCAGACUCCUACGGGAGGCAGCAGUAGGGAAUCUUCCGCAAUAGGCGAAAGCCUGACGGAGCAACGCCGCGUGAGUGAUGAAGGUCUUCGGAUCGUAAAACUCUGUUAUUAGGGAAGAACAUAUGUGUAAGUAACUGUGCACAUCUUGACGGUACCUAAUCAGAAAGCCACGGCUAACUACGUG